This 250-nucleotide ribosomal RNA is filed under the name uncultured bacterium. RNAcentral's name for it is "partial 16S ribosomal RNA". It matches the Rfam family "Bacterial small subunit ribosomal RNA", at positions 524 to 773 of the family's 1533-position model. The record is from RNAcentral.
UACGGAGGAUGCGAGCGUUAUCCGGAUUUAUUGGGUUUAAAGGGUGCGUAGGUGGCUAGAUAAGUCAGUGGUGAAAGUUUGUCGCUCAACGAUAAAAUUGCCAUUGAAACUGUUUAGCUUGAGUAUGUUUGAUGUAUGCGGAAUGCGUAGUGUAGCGGUGAAAUGCAUAGAUAUUACGCAGAACUCCAAUUGCGAAGGCAGCAUACAAAGCCAUAACUGACACUGAAGCACGAAAGCGUGGGUAUCAAAC